AUUGAACGCUGGCGGCAGGCCUAACACAUGCAAGUCGAGCGGAAACAGGAAGAAGGUUCCUUCUUUGCGGACGAGGGGGGGGCGGGAGAGCAAUGUCUGUGACACUGCGUGAGGGAGGGGGUUAAUUAAGGGAAACGGAAGCGAAAACCGAAUAAAGUCGGAAGACCAAGGAUCUGGAGCUCAGGGCCUCUUGGCAUCGGCUAGGCCCAGAUGGGAUUAGCUAGUAGGUGGGGUAACGGCUAACCUAGGCGACGAUCCCUAGCUGGUCUGAGAGGAUGACCAGCCACACUGGAACUGAGACACGGUCCAGACUCCUACGGGAGGCAGCAGUGGGGAAUAUUGCACAAUGGGCGAAAGCCUGAUGCAGCCAUGCCGCGUGUAUGAAGAAGGCCUUCGGGUUGUAAAGUACUUUAAGCUGGGAGGAAGGGAGUAAAGUUAAUACCUUUGCGUAUUGACGUUACCCGCAGAAGAAGCACCGGCUAACUCCGUG
This 490-nucleotide ribosomal RNA is filed under the name uncultured bacterium. RNAcentral's name for it is "partial 16S ribosomal RNA". It matches the Rfam family "Bacterial small subunit ribosomal RNA", at positions 29 to 507 of the family's 1533-position model. The record is from RNAcentral.